RNAcentral lists this ribosomal RNA (637 nucleotides) under Saccharomyces pastorianus. RNAcentral describes it as "partial small subunit ribosomal RNA". The stretch from base 166 to 637 matches the Rfam family "Bacterial small subunit ribosomal RNA", at positions 1 to 908 of the family's 1533-position model. Lineage: Eukaryota; Fungi; Ascomycota; Saccharomycetes; Saccharomycetales; Saccharomycetaceae. The record is from RNAcentral.
CGAAAGAUUGAUCCAGUUACUUAUUAGGAUGAUAUAUAAAUAAUUAUAAAAUUUAUUAUAAAUAUUAUAAAAAAUAAUAUAUAUAAAUUGAUUAAAAAUAAAAUCCAUAAAUAAUUAAAAUAAUGAUAUUAAUUACUAUAUAUAAUAUAUAUAGAUAUAUACCCCGCGGCACAAACCCAGCUUAGCUGGGUUUGUGACCGCGGGUACGAUAUAAUAAAUAUAAUAAUAUGUAAAAAUAAUAUUAUAUAAUUAUGUUGUAGUAUAUUUUAAUAGUCCUGACAAAUAUUUGUGCCAGCAGUCGCGGUAACACAAAGAGGGCGAGCGUUAAUCACAAUGGUUUAAAGGAUCCGUAGAAUGAAUUAAUAAAUAAUUUAGAGUUAAUAGAUUUAAUUAAAGAAUUAUAAUAGUAAAGAUGAAAUAAUAAUAAUAAUUAUAAGACUAAUAUAUGUGAAAAUAUUAAUUAACUAUUAACUGACAUUGAGGGAUUAAAACUAGAGUAGCGAAACGGAUUCGAUACCCGUGUAGUUCUAGUAGUAAACUAUGAAUACAAUUAUAAAUCUAAUAUUUAGAUAAAUAAUAAAUGAAAAUGUAAGUAUUCCACCUGAAGAGUACGUUAGCAAUAAUGAAACUCAAAACA